CCUACGGGUGGCAGCAGUGAGGAAUAUUGCGCAAUGGGGGAAACCCUGACGCAGCAACGCCGCGUGGGUGAAGAAGGCCUUCGGGUCGUAAAGCCCUUUCGGACGGGACGAACGCUCCGCGGUGACAAGCCGCGGAGCCUGACGGUACCGUAAGAAGAAGCACCGGCUAACUCCGUGCCAGCAGCCGCGGUAAUACGGAGGGUGCGAGCGUUGUUCGGAAUUACUGGGCGUAAAGCGCGUGUAGGCGGCCUUGCGAGUCAGACGUGAAAGCCCUCGGAUUAACCGGGGAAGUG
RNAcentral lists this ribosomal RNA (293 nucleotides) under Salmonella enterica subsp. enterica serovar Anatum. RNAcentral describes it as "partial 16S ribosomal RNA". It matches the Rfam family "Bacterial small subunit ribosomal RNA", at positions 338 to 623 of the family's 1533-position model. Lineage: Bacteria; Pseudomonadati; Pseudomonadota; Gammaproteobacteria; Enterobacterales; Enterobacteriaceae. The record is from RNAcentral.